Molecule: ribosomal RNA, 474 nt
Filed under: uncultured soil bacterium
Lineage: Bacteria
Description: bacterial SSU rRNA
Rfam family: Bacterial small subunit ribosomal RNA
Source: RNAcentral
AGGACAAACGCUGGCGGCGUGCAUAAAACAUGCAAGUCGGACGAGCCAAUCCCCGCAAGGGGAAAGGCUAGUGGCGAACGGCUGAGUAACACGUAGGUGAUCUGCCCUGAAGUGGGGGAUAACGACUCGAAAGAGUCGCUAAUACCGCAUGUGACCAUCGAUUCGUUUUCGAUGCUCAAAGUCGUAAGACGCUUUAGGAGGAGCCUGCGGCGGAUUAGCUAGUUGGUGAGGUAAUGGCCCACCAAGGCUUCGAUCCGUAGCUGGUCUGAGAGGAUGGCCAGCCAGACUGGGACUGAGACACGGCCCAGACUCCUACGGGAGGCAGCAGUUAGGAAUUUGCGCAAUGGGGAAACCCUGACGCAGCCACGCCGCGUGCGGAUGAAGGCCUUCGGCGUAAACCGCCUUCGUCGAGGAAGACCACCCGACGGUACUCGAGCAGUAAGCAACGGCUAACGUACGUGACCAGCCAGCCGC